GAGGGCAUAGCUCAGUGGUAGAGUGCAUGCUUAGCAUGCAUGAGGUCCUGGGUUCAAUCCCCAGUACCUCCA
Molecule: transfer RNA, 72 nt
Filed under: Camelus bactrianus (Bactrian camel)
Lineage: Eukaryota; Metazoa; Chordata; Mammalia; Artiodactyla; Camelidae
Also listed under: 2 other names
Rfam family: tRNA
About the family: Transfer RNA (tRNA) molecules are approximately 80 nucleotides in length. Their secondary structure includes four short double-helical elements and three loops (D, anti-codon, and T loops).
Source: Rfam by way of RNAcentral